RNAcentral lists this ribosomal RNA (252 nucleotides) under uncultured bacterium. RNAcentral describes it as "partial small subunit ribosomal RNA". It matches the Rfam family "Bacterial small subunit ribosomal RNA", at positions 26 to 285 of the family's 1533-position model. The record is from RNAcentral.
AGGACGAACGCUGGCGGCGUGCUUAACACAUGCAAGUCGAGCGGAAAGGCCCUUCGGGGUACUCGAGCGGCGAACGGGUGAGUAACACGUGAGUAAUCUGCCCCUAGCUCUGGGAUAGCUCCGGGAAACCGGGAUUAAUACUGGAUACGACCACCUUAGACAUCUUUUGUGGUGGAAAGAAUUUCGGCUAGGGAUGAGCUCGCGGCCUAUCAGCUUGUUGGUGGGUAACGCCUACCGAAGGCGACGACGGUA